UAUCUAAAUAGCUUAUAAAGAGCAUUGAAUUGAAGAUUCAAAGGAAAUUUUAUAUUUUUAGAUAU
This 65-nucleotide transfer RNA is filed under the name Chrysochus chinensis. Its description in RNAcentral is "tRNA-Phe". The record is from RNAcentral. Lineage: Eukaryota; Metazoa; Arthropoda; Insecta; Coleoptera; Chrysomelidae.